ACUGCUCGUUAUGGAGGACAAGGAAGAAACUAGUUCGGCCGUUUGAAGGGAAUGGGAAUGGGAAUUGAAUGAAGAAAGAAUGGAUUGAAGUAGUCAAUUGAUUAAAAACUCAUAUUUUUUUGUGUUACUCAUUGACCUUUAUGAAGACAACAAUUCUGGGUUUCCAUUGCUUACAGUGUGUUUCCAUAGAGCAAAGUUCUUUUUUGAUGGCUUUGUUUUUACGUUGCAUUACUGUGUUAUUCCUCACUCUCUGUAUGUGAGUCUCGCGCUGUUUCAGCUGCUUCCUCCUGCUUCCUUCGGUUCCUUUUCCUUUCUUAUCGGACGGUGGCCCGCCAAAAUUAAUUUCGCCUACAUAAAAAGUGACGCAAUAGAAACUCUCGGAACCAGUAUGGACUUGAGGAUGAGCGCAUCCCGGACCUUGAAAGGAUCCUCGUCGAUGGUUGAUUCGUCAGCUCAUUCACAUAAGGUUUCUCUAGAAGGUGAAUUAGGGUUCUUUCA
This is a non-coding RNA of Schizosaccharomyces pombe (fission yeast), 498 nucleotides long. The record is from the annotation of a GenBank genome assembly. NCBI's taxonomy places the organism in Eukaryota, Fungi, Ascomycota, Schizosaccharomycetes, Schizosaccharomycetales, Schizosaccharomycetaceae.